RNAcentral lists this ribosomal RNA (514 nucleotides) under uncultured bacterium. RNAcentral describes it as "partial 16S ribosomal RNA". It matches the Rfam family "Bacterial small subunit ribosomal RNA", at positions 355 to 882 of the family's 1533-position model. The record is from RNAcentral.
UGGGGAAUAUUGCACAAUGGGCGAAAGCCUGAUGCAGCAACGCCGCGUGAGUGAUGAAGGUCUUCGGAUUGUAAAGCUCUGUCUUUUGGGACGAUAAUGACGGUACCAAAGGAGGAAGCCACGGCUAACUACGUGCCAGCAGCCGCGGUAAUACGUAGGUGGCGAGCGUUGUCCGGAUUUACUGGGCGUAAAGGGUGCGUAGGCGGAUGUUUAAGUGAGAUGUGAAAUACCCGGGCUUAACUUGGGUGCUGCAUUUCAAACUGGAUAUCUAGAGUGCAGGAGAGGAGAAUGGAAUUCCUAGUGUAGCGGUGAAAUGCGUAGAGAUUAGGAAGAACACCAGUGGCGAAGGCGAUUCUCUGGACUGUAACUGACGCUGAGGCACGAAAAGCGUGGGUAGCAAACAGGAUUAGAUACCCUGGUAGUCCACGCCGUAAAACGAUGAGUACUAGGUGUAGGAGGUAUCGACCCCUUCUGUGCCGCAGUAAAACACAUUAAGUACUCCGCCUGGGAAAGU